This 953-nucleotide ribosomal RNA is filed under the name Bacillus sp. (in: firmicutes). RNAcentral describes it as "bacterial SSU rRNA". It matches the Rfam family "Bacterial small subunit ribosomal RNA", at positions 61 to 986 of the family's 1533-position model. Lineage: Bacteria; Bacillati; Bacillota; Bacilli; Caryophanales; Bacillaceae. The record is from RNAcentral.
GUUGCCCGUUAGACGAAUAUAGGGCUCCGGCGAGUCUUCGGAGGCGGCGCCCGCCGGGUGAGUACCACGUGGGCAACCUGCCUGUAAGACUGGGAUAACUCCGGGAAACCGGAGCUAAUACCGGAUACUAUGUCAAACCGCAUGGUUUGACAUUCAAAGACGGUUUCGGCUGUCACUUACAGAUGGGCCCGCGGCGCAUUAGCUAGUUGGUGAGGUAACGGCUCACCAAGGCGACGAUGCGUAGCCGACCUGAGAGGGUGAUCGGCCACACUGGGACUGAGACACGGCCCAGACUCCUACGGGAGGCAGCAGUAGGGAAUCUUCCGCAAUGGACGAAAGUCUGACGGAGCAACGCCGCGUGAGUGAUGAAGGUUUUCGGAUCGUAAAACUCUGUUGUCAGGGAAGAACAAGUGCCGGAGUAACUGCCGGCGCCUUGACGGUACCUGACCAGAAAGCCACGGCUAACUACGUGCCAGCAGCCGCGGUAAUACGUAGGUGGCAAGCGUUGUCCGGAAUUAUUGGGCGUAAAGCGCGCGCAGGCGGUUUCUUAAGUCUGAUGUGAAAGCCCCCGGCUCAACCGGGGAGGGUCAUUGGAAACUGGGAAACUUGAGUGCAGAAGAGGAGAGUGGAAUUCCACGUGUAGCGGUGAAAUGCGUAGAGAUGUGGGAGGAACACCAGUGGCGAAGGCGACUCUCUGGUCUGUAACUGACGCUGAGGCGCGAAAGCGUGGGGAGCGAACAGGAUUAGAUACCCUGGUAGUCCACGCCGUAAACGAUGAGUGCUAAGUGUUAGAGGGUUUCCGCCCUUUAGUGCUGCAGCUAACGCAUUAAGCACUCCGCCUGGGGAGUACGGUCGCAGACUGAAACUCAAAGGAAUUGACGGGGGCCCGCACAAGCGGUGGAGCAUGUGGUUUAAUUCUAAGCAACGCGAAGAAACCUUCCAGGGUUUUGACA